This 251-nucleotide ribosomal RNA is filed under the name uncultured prokaryote. Its description in RNAcentral is "partial 16S ribosomal RNA". It matches the Rfam family "Bacterial small subunit ribosomal RNA", at positions 525 to 775 of the family's 1533-position model. The record is from RNAcentral.
ACGUAGGGUGCGAGCGUUAAUCGGAAUUACUGGGCGUAAAGCGUGCGCAGGCGGCUUUGUAAGACAGAUGUGAAAUCCCCGGGCUCAACCUGGGAACUGCAUUUGUGACUGCAAGGCUAGAGUGCGUCAGAGGGAGGUGGAAUUCCGCGUGUAGCAGUGAAAUGCGUAGAGAUGUGGAGGAACACCGAUGGCGAAGGCAGCCCCCUGGGCCGAUACUGACGCUCAGACGCGAAAGCAUGGGGAGCGAACGG